GAGCACUCUAGCGAGACUGCCGUUGACAAAACGGAGGAAGGUGGGGACGACGUCAAAUCAUCAUGCCCCUUAUGUCCUGGGCCACACACGUACUACAAUGGCGGUCAACAAAGAGAGGCAAUACCGCGAGGUGGAGCAAAUCUCAAAAAGCCGUCCCAGUUCGGAUUGCAGGCUGCAACCCGCCUGCAUGAAGUUGGAAUCGCUAGUAAUCGCGGAUCAGCAUGCCGCGGUGAAUACGUUCCCGGGCCUUGUACACACCGCCCGUCACACCAUGAGAGUCGGGAACACCCGAAGUCCGUAGCCUAACCGCAAGGGGGGCGCGGCCGAAGGUGGGUUCGAUAAUUGGGGUGAAGUCGUAACAAGGUAGCCGUAUCGGAAGGUGCGGCUGGAUCACCUCCUUUCUAAGGAGA
Molecule: ribosomal RNA, 410 nt
Filed under: Pseudoflavonifractor capillosus
Lineage: Bacteria; Bacillati; Bacillota; Clostridia; Eubacteriales; Oscillospiraceae
Description: bacterial SSU rRNA
Rfam family: Bacterial small subunit ribosomal RNA
Source: RNAcentral